Molecule: small nuclear RNA, 65 nt
Filed under: Salvator merianae (Argentine black and white tegu)
Lineage: Eukaryota; Metazoa; Chordata; Lepidosauria; Squamata; Teiidae
Source: RNAcentral
GUGCACACUUCAGCAGCAUAUAUACUAAAAUUGGAAUGAUGCUGAGAAGAUUAGCAUGGCCCCUG